AUAAGAGUGGCAGAGUAGUGCGCUAGAUUUAGGAUUUAGAUAUAAAGUUUAACUUUCUCUUAUA
This 64-nucleotide transfer RNA is filed under the name Thylacodes decussatus. Its description in RNAcentral is "tRNA-Leu". It matches the Rfam family "tRNA". Rfam says of the family: Transfer RNA (tRNA) molecules are approximately 80 nucleotides in length. Their secondary structure includes four short double-helical elements and three loops (D, anti-codon, and T loops). The record is from RNAcentral. Lineage: Eukaryota; Metazoa; Mollusca; Gastropoda; Littorinimorpha; Vermetidae.